AUGUUGCAUCAAGAAAAUAGUGAGGUUUAUGUGAGGCACCACUCUGAGCAGCUUGCAUGUGGCAAUCUGAGGGGAACCGAUGAUGGGCGCUCAAACUUCCUUCCUGGGAAAUACCAUAUUGCAACAGUUGGGCCUAAUUUUGGAAUUUCAGAAUGGAAUACCACAGCUUGUCUAGUUAAUACUACCAGUGCUGUUAAAGAAGUGACAGUCGAUCAUUAUAAGAGACCUGCCUCUAGUGGUUUCCCAGACAUGUUGGACUGCAAACGGAUGAAGCAGGAAGAGCAAACUGUAUCUGAGAAAGAUAAUGCAGCAGAUGCUGACAUAAAUGUUCCAGAGUAUGGAUCAUACAAGACAUGGGAGAGAAUCUCCGAUCCACCAGCGUACGGUAGUGAGGAAAGUGAGGAUGAAGGUGUAGAUCCACCCGUUAAUUUUUCACUAGCCCAAACUUAUGUUGAAGAUUACCUGCGAUCUGCAAGUUAUUAUCAAAGGGAAGACAUUUACUCGUCUGUUAGCCUUUGCCCUACAAGGAAAACUGUUCCAAUUGGGCCAAAUUAUCAGGCUGAGUUGCCAGAGUGUGCAUCUGGUAAUUGUAGGAGCUCAGUUGAUGGUAAUGCUGAUGUGUCAUCAUCUUCUCACAUAUGUGAUAUAAAGGAAGCCGGGAGUGACAAGUGGAUUAGGAACUCUGUUAUUCCAAUGCCUGGUUCUGUUGAGUUAUCUUCAGUGCUGAAACCUGUUUGCUGUAAGACAGAUUGCAGUUGUGUUGAUGAAGGUUCGAUUGCGUGCGUGAGGAAGCAUGUGAAGGAAGCAAGAGAAAGACUAAUGAGUGCCCUUGAUCUGAACACCUUCAAAGAGUUAGGAUUCUUUGACAUGGGAGAGGAGGUGGCCUUGAAAUGGACUGAAGAUGAAGAGCAUUUGUUCCAGGAUGUGGUAUCAUUAAACCCUGCCUCUCUUGGAAGGAACUUCUGGGAUGAACUUCUGCUUGCCUUCCCAUUGAAGACUAACAAAGAGUUAGUGAGCUACUAUUUCAAUGUCUACAUGUUGAGGAAGAGGGCUGAGCAGAAUAGGUUUGAUCCAAUGAAUGUUGACAGUGAUAAUGAUGAAUGGGAGGGAAGAGAUGAUGAUGAAUUUGCUGUGACAGAAAGGGCUGGUGAGGAUUUGCUGCUCGAGUCUCUUACUGAUCAAGAUGAUGGUGCAUGCAAUCAAGUUCCCCUCCAAGGAAAUAUACAUGAAGAGUCUGGUGAGGAGGAUGAGUUUGACUGUUCUAGUGGUGACAGGCAAGAAAAUUGCUGCAUGGAGGGGAAUGUCAUGGUGUCCCUUGUGGACGUUAACCAGGGGGCAACCAUUUUUGACGCAGAUGCUCAAGACGACUCGUGCACAUCAUUUGAGGCUCCGCAUGUUUGUACCACGGAUGGCACACCCACUGAUAUUGCUGGAGACCACUACCGGGAUGUUGGCUUUGGUAGCGUUGCAGAUCAUGGAUACUUUGGUGGCCAUUGCGACCCGAAAACAUGGGAUAUUGGUUUCAGUAGCGUUUGGGAGAAAGACGAAUUUCUUUCGACAAACAAUGUGAUAGAAGAGGUGUUUGGAAAGGAUUCUUGUGAAAAUGGAAAUGACUCUUCUACUGCCCAGGGCAUCAUGUAA
This 1641-nucleotide ribosomal RNA is filed under the name Triticum aestivum (bread wheat). RNAcentral's name for it is "partial small subunit ribosomal RNA". Lineage: Eukaryota; Viridiplantae; Streptophyta; Magnoliopsida; Poales; Poaceae. The record is from RNAcentral.